RNAcentral lists this ribosomal RNA (496 nucleotides) under uncultured bacterium. RNAcentral describes it as "bacterial SSU rRNA". It matches the Rfam family "Bacterial small subunit ribosomal RNA", at positions 899 to 1397 of the family's 1533-position model. The record is from RNAcentral.
ACUCAAAUGAAUAGACGGGGGCCCGCACAAGCGGUGGAGCAUGUGGUUUAAUUCGAUGAUACGCGAGGAACCUUACCAGGGCUUAAAUGUAGAUUGACAGAUUUGGAAACAGAUUUUUCUUCGGACAAUUUACAAGGUGCUGCAUGGUUGUCGUCAGCUCGUGCCGUGAGGUGUCAGGUUAAGUCCUAUAACGAGCGCAACCCCUGUUGUUAGUUGCCAGCACGUAAUGGUGGGAACUCUAGCAAGACUGCCGGUGUAAACCGUGAGGAAGGUGGGGAUGACGUCAAAUCAUCACGGCCCUUACGUCCUGGGCCACACACGUGCUACAAUGGCCGGUACAGAGAGCAGCCACUUAGCGAUAAGGAGCGAAUCUAUAAAGCCGGUCACAGUUCGGAUUGGAGUCUGCAACUCGACUCUAUGAAGCUGGAAUCGCUAGUAAUCGGAUAUCAGCCAUGAUCCGGUGAAUACGUUCCCGGGCCUUGUACACACCGCCCGU